AGCACAAUUGCUGAAUUAUAUGGUUAGCUUUGUAAGAAACUUUCAGACUGUCUUCUAAAAUGACUGUACCAUUUUUUUUUCAUUCCAACCAGCAAU
Molecule: microRNA precursor, 96 nt
Filed under: Marmota monax (woodchuck)
Lineage: Eukaryota; Metazoa; Chordata; Mammalia; Rodentia; Sciuridae
Source: RNAcentral